RNAcentral lists this signal recognition particle RNA (300 nucleotides) under Callithrix jacchus (white-tufted-ear marmoset). Its description in RNAcentral is "Metazoan signal recognition particle RNA (ENSCJAG00000076451.1)". It matches the Rfam family "Metazoan signal recognition particle RNA". Rfam says of the family: The signal recognition particle (SRP) is a universally conserved ribonucleoprotein. The record is from Rfam by way of RNAcentral. Lineage: Eukaryota; Metazoa; Chordata; Mammalia; Primates; Cebidae.
GCUGGGCACGGUGGUGCAUGACUGUAGUCCCAGCUACACGGGAGGCUGAGGCUGGAGGAUCGCUUGAGUUCAAGAGUUUUGGGCUGUAGUGCACUAUGCCAAUUGGGUGUCUACACCAAGUUGGGCAUCAAUAUGGUGACCUCCCAGGAGUGGGGGACCACCAGGUUGCCUAAGGAGGGGUGAACUGGCCCAGGUCAGAAAAGAAGCAGGUCAAAACUCCCAUGCUGAUCAGUAGUGGGAUCAUGCCUGUGAAUAACCACUGCACUCCAGCCUGGGCAACAUAGCGAGACCUUGUCUCUA